GAUUAAUGCUGGCGGCGUGCCUAACACAUGCAAGUCGAGCGGCAGCGCGGGUAGUUUACUACCUGGCGGCGAGCGGCGGACGGCUGAGUAACGCGUGGGCACAUACCUCAAAGUGAGGAAUAACUGCCCGAAAGGGUGGCUAAUGCCGCAUAUGAUCUUCGGAGUAAAGGAUUUAUCCGCUUUGGGAAUGGCCUGCGUACGAUUAGAUAGUUGGUGAGGCAAAGGCUCACCAAGUCGACGAUCGUUAACUGGUCUAAGAGGACGACCAGCCACACUGGGACUGAGACACGGCCCAGACUCCUACGGGAGGCAGCAGUGGGGAAUUUUGGACAAUGGGCGCAAGCCUGAUCCAGCAAUGCCGCGUGCAGGAAGAAGGCCUUCGGGUUGUAAACUGCUUUUGUACGGAGCGAAAAGGCUCUCUCUAAUACAGGGGGUUCAUGACGGUACCGUAAGAAUAAGCACCGGCUAACUACGUGCCAGCAGCCGCCGUAA
Molecule: ribosomal RNA, 492 nt
Filed under: uncultured bacterium
Lineage: Bacteria
Description: partial 16S ribosomal RNA
Rfam family: Bacterial small subunit ribosomal RNA
Source: RNAcentral